This 755-nucleotide ribosomal RNA is filed under the name Streptomyces corchorusii. RNAcentral's name for it is "bacterial SSU rRNA". It matches the Rfam family "Bacterial small subunit ribosomal RNA", at positions 57 to 829 of the family's 1533-position model. The record is from RNAcentral. Lineage: Bacteria; Bacillati; Actinomycetota; Actinomycetes; Kitasatosporales; Streptomycetaceae.
GCAAGUCGAACGAUGAACCACUUCGGUGGGGAUUAGUGGCGAACGGGUGAGUAACACGUGGGCAAUCUGCCCUUCACUCUGGGACAAGCCCUGGAAACGGGGUCUAAUACCGGAUACCACUCUCGCAGGCAUCUGUGAGGGUUGAAAGCUCCGGCGGUGAAGGAUGAGCCCGCGGCCUAUCAGCUUGUUGGUGAGGUAAUGGCUCACCAAGGCGACGACGGGUAGCCGGCCUGAGAGGGCGACCGGCCACACUGGGACUGAGACACGGCCCAGACUCCUACGGGAGGCAGCAGUGGGGAAUAUUGCACAAUGGGCGAAAGCCUGAUGCAGCGACGCCGCGUGAGGGAUGACGGCCUUCGGGUUGUAAACCUCUUUCAGCAGGGAAGAAGCGAAAGUGACGGUACCUGCAGAAGAAGCGCCGGCUAACUACGUGCCAGCAGCCGCGGUAAUACGUAGGGCGCAAGCGUUGUCCGGAAUUAUUGGGCGUAAAGAGCUCGUAGGCGGCUUGUCACGUCGGGUGUGAAAGCCCGGGGCUUAACCCCGGGUCUGCAUUCGAUACGGGCUAGCUAGAGUGUGGUAGGGGAGAUCGGAAUUCCUGGUGUAGCGGUGAAAUGCGCAGAUAUCAGGAGGAACACCGGUGGCGAAGGCGGAUCUCUGGGCCAUUACUGACGCUGAGGAGCGAAAGCGUGGGGAGCGAACAGGAUUAGAUACCCUGGUAGUCCACGCCGUAAACGGUGGGAACUAGGUGUUGGCGA